Molecule: ribosomal RNA, 482 nt
Filed under: uncultured bacterium
Lineage: Bacteria
Description: partial 16S ribosomal RNA
Rfam family: Bacterial small subunit ribosomal RNA
Source: RNAcentral
AUUGAACGCUGGCGGCAUGCCUUACACAUGCAGGUCGAACGGUAACGGGCCUUCGGGUGCCGACGAGUGGCGCACGGGUGAGUAAUACAUCGGAACGUGCCCGAUCGUGGGGGAUAACGAGGCGAAAGCUUUGCUAAUACCGCAUACGAUCUACGGAUGAAAGCAGGGGACCGCAAGGCCUUGCGCGGACGGAGCGGCCGAUGGCAGAUUAGGUAGUUGGUGGGAUAAAAGCUUACCAAGCCGACGAUCUGUAGCUGGUCUGAGAGGAUGAUCAGCCACACUGGGACUGAGACACGGCCCAGACUCCUACGGGAGGCAGCAGUGGGGAAUUUUGGACAAAGGGCGCAAGCCUGAUCCAGCCAUGCCGCGUGCAGGAUGAAGGCCUUCGGGUUGUAAACUGCUUUUGUACGGAACGAAAAGCCUUCUUUUAAUACAGGAGGGUCAUGACGGUACCGUAAGAAUAAGCACCGGCUAACUACGUG